Molecule: ribosomal RNA, 470 nt
Filed under: uncultured bacterium
Lineage: Bacteria
Description: bacterial SSU rRNA
Rfam family: Bacterial small subunit ribosomal RNA
Source: RNAcentral
UCGGGAAUUUUGGGCAAUGGGGGAAACCCUGACCCAGCAACGCCGCGUGAAGGACGAAAUCCCUCGGGAUGUAAACUUCGUAGUCAGGGGAAGAAAGUCUUGGAUUGAAUACAUCCGAGGCCUGACGGUACCCUGGGUAAGCCACGGCUAACUACGUGCCAGCAGCCGCGGUAAUACGUAGGUGGCAAGCGUUGUUCGGAAUUACUGGGCGUAAAGGGCGCGUAGGCGGCUAAUUAUGUCAGGUGUGAAAGCCCUCGGCCUAACCGAGGAAGUGCGCCUGAAACUGAUUAGCUUGAGUACGUGAGAGGAGGACGGAAUUCCCAGUGUAGAGGUGAAAUUCGUAGAUAUUGGGAGGAACACCGGUGGCGAAAGCGGUUCUCUGGAUCGAUACUGACGCUAAGACGCGAAAGCGUGGGGAGCAAACAGGAUUAGAUACCCCCGUAGUCCCUGAGCGGGCUGGCAAGGCGCAU